Molecule: RNA transcript, 2129 nt
Organism: Homo sapiens (human)
Lineage: Eukaryota; Metazoa; Chordata; Mammalia; Primates; Hominidae
Gene: PDZK1P1
Gene name: PDZ domain containing 1 pseudogene 1
Exons: 10
Source: RefSeq, marked validated
AAAACCGGAGAGGCGCAUCUUGCCGGCUACGGUUGAAACCCGUUCACUGGGUGAUUCUGAAGCUAGAAGGGCAGCCGAAUGGCCUUCCCCCCGUCCUGCCCCUCGUCCACUGCUUUCAAAGACCCAGGAGCUGGAGAUUUAGGGAUGUGUCCAGGUUACCCUGGAAGAUCUGUGGGAUGAUGGAGCUUCUCUUCCUCUACACCUCUUUUGAGUCAUGUGAAAAAGCCAAGUAUCUUGCUUCUAAAUUCAUAUGUUUUUGAGAAACCUACAAAGAGAUCUGCACAAGAGAGAAAGUGAAAAUUUCACUCCAAGAUUUCUUCCCUUGGCAAACAACAGAAGGUUUAGGACAAGCCUUUUCUCUAAGUGCCUGUUGCUUUGUUAGCUCUGUUUUCCAAAGACAUCUGUGUUGUGGAUCUGGUCAGAAAGAGUGGGAAUUCAGUGACUUUACUAGUUCUGGAUGGGGAUUCCUAUGAGAAAGCAGUGAAAACACGGGUGGACUUGAAAGAGUUGGGUCAAAGUCAGAAGGAGCAAGGUUUGAGUGAUAAUAUACUUUCCCCUGUGAUGAAUGGAGGUGUGCAAACUUGGACCCAGCCCCGGCUCUGCUAUCUCGUGAAGGAGGGAGGCAGCCAUGGCUUCUCUCUGAAAACUGUCCAAGGUAAAAAGGGGGUAUACAUGACUGAUAUUACACCUCAAGGUGUGGCUAUGAGAGCUGGAGUUCUGGCUGAUGAUCACUUGAUUGAAGUGAAUGGAGAGAAUGUAGAGGAUGCCAGCCAUGAGGAAGUGGUUGAAAAGGUGAAGAAGUCAGGAAGCCGUGUCAUGUUCCUGCUGGUGGACAAAGAAACUGACAAGCGUCAUGUUGAGCAGAAGAUACAAUUCAAAAGAGAAACAGCCAGUUUGAAACUGUUACCCCACCAGCCCCGAAUUGUGGAGAUGAAGAAAGGAAGCAAUGGCUAUGGUUUCUAUCUGAGGGCAGGCUCAGAACAGAAAGGUCAAAUCAUCAAGGACAUAGAUUCUGGAAGUCCAGCAGAGGAGGCUGGCUUGAAGAACAAUGAUCUGGUAGUUGCUGUCAACGGCGAGUCUGUGGAAACCCUGGAUCAUGACAGUGUGGUAGAAAUGAUUAGAAAGGGUGGAGAUCAGACUUCACUGUUGGUGGUAGACAAAGAGACGGACAACAUGUACAGACUGGCUCAUUUUUCUCCAUUUCUCUACUAUCAAAGUCAAGAACUGCCCAAUGGCUCUGUCAAGGAGGCUCCAGCUCCUACUCCCACUUCUCUGGAAGUCUCAAGUCCACCAGAUACUACAGAGGAAGAAGAUCAUAAGCCUAAACUCUGCAGGCUGGCUAAAGGUACAGAAGGGCGGUCCUGCUGACUUGGCUGGGCUAGAGGAUGAGGAUGUCAUCAUUGAAGUGAAUGGGGUGAAUGUGCUAGAUGAACCCUAUGAGAAGGUGGUGGAUAGAAUCCAGAGCAGUGGGAAGAAUGUCACACUUCUAGUCUGUGGAAAGAAGGCCUAUGAUUAUUUCCAAGCUAAGAAAAUCCCUAUUGUUUCCUCCCUGGCUGAUCCACUUGACACCCCUCCAGAUUCUAAAGAAGGAAUAGUGGUGGAGUCAAAGCAUGACUCGCACAUGGCAAAAGAACGGGCCCACAGUACAGCCUCACAUUCUUCUUCCAAUUCUGAAGAUACAGAGAUGUGAUGAAAACAAGUAAUAGCUUUGGCUGUUUAUUUGAUAGCUGUUUCUGGGUAUUUAAUAGGAAUCCUUUCUCAAAGAAUGAGUUGCGACCUGUUUACUGUCUCUUUAGAAGAAAAACUCCACUGGAAACCAUUCACCAUGUGUGAUUGUCUUCUGUUAUCAUUUGUCUUACAGGCGGCUAUUGCAGACGGCUAAUUUAUGCUUAACUUAGGAAGAGAUAAGGCAAGAGCUAGAUUUUUUUCAUGUGAUCUUUUCCAAGCUUCAACUUAACUACAUUUCUCUGUAUGAUGAUGUCUCUUACUUCUACAGGUUCCUUGAGCACCAAAGAUGAUUCAUAACUCUGUAUAGGUGACAGCUGCUUAUAAAAGCAUCUUAGCAGAUAAGCCUAUUAAAAUUGUGCUUUUGUAACAAUGUUGUGGUUGCUAGAAUAAAUACCAUUAAC